Molecule: ribosomal RNA, 254 nt
Filed under: uncultured bacterium
Lineage: Bacteria
Description: partial 16S ribosomal RNA
Rfam family: Bacterial small subunit ribosomal RNA
Source: RNAcentral
UACGUAGGGUGCAAGCGUUAAUCGGAAUUACUGGGCGUAAAGCGUGCGCAGGCGGUUUUGUAAGUCUGUCGUGAAAUCCCCGGGCUCAACCUGGGAAUUGCGAUGGAGACUGCAAGGCUAGAAUCUGGCAGAGGGGGGGUAGAAUUCCACGUGUAGCAGUGAAAUGCGUAGAGAUGUGGAGGAAUACCGAUGGCGAAGGCAGCCUCCUGGGCCAACACUGACGCUCAUGCACGAAAGCGUGGGGAGCAAACAGG